Molecule: signal recognition particle RNA, 147 nt
Filed under: Nomascus leucogenys (northern white-cheeked gibbon)
Lineage: Eukaryota; Metazoa; Chordata; Mammalia; Primates; Hylobatidae
Description: Metazoan signal recognition particle RNA
Rfam family: Metazoan signal recognition particle RNA
About the family: The signal recognition particle (SRP) is a universally conserved ribonucleoprotein. It is involved in the co-translational targeting of proteins to membranes.
Source: Rfam by way of RNAcentral
GCCGGGAGUGGUGGCGUACGCCUGUAAUCCCAGCUACUUAGGAGGCUGAGGCAGAAGAAUCGCUUGAACCCGGGAGGCGGAGGUUGCAGUGAGCGAGAUCGCAACACUGCACCCCAGCCUGAGUGACAGAGCGAGACUCUGUCUCAA